This is a long non-coding RNA of Rattus norvegicus (Norway rat), 662 nucleotides long. RefSeq lists it as uncharacterized. Lineage: Eukaryota; Metazoa; Chordata; Mammalia; Rodentia; Muridae. The record is from RefSeq and is a predicted model, not a curated record.
GGUCCCUUUGCUCAAACAUUAACUUCCCCCUGAAAAGGCAAAUUGCUUGAGAAGAUAGAAAAAGUGUCAGUACACUCACUGGCUCUAGAAUUCAGAACGCAGGUGGCUGGUUUCACCUAAGGGGUUGCUGUUGCCAUGGUUAUUGUUGAAACAAGCCAAGCACCUACAGCUUGCUCUUUGGAGGCUGCAGUCCUGGCCCUACAAUCACUGAAGCAUUACAAGGGCACCGGCCUGUGCGUGCGUGCGUGCACCUUCCAGGCUCAAUUCUACUGUUUCCAGAGCAAUGGUAUACAAGAGAAAUAUAAUGGAAGAUUGUAGACCUUCCCUGGUCAUCGCUGGGCUCAGAAUUCACUGUGAUAGACUACAGUAAGGAAGAUCGUGAACAAGCAACAGCUCUGGAAAUAGCAUCCUACUACAGUCGUUUAGGAUCCACAUGAUGGCCAACUUGCACAUAUGCUAUAUAAAUUUAAUUUGAUUUGAUUUGAUAUGAUGUAAAAAAAAACUACUUGAACAAACUACAAAGAGCAAGUCAGUAAAUACCACCCCUUCACAAUGUAAGCCUCAGUUCCUGCCUCCAGUCUCCUGACUUAUAUUCUUGCUAUGGCUUCCCCAAGUUAAGGACUGUGAUCUGUACUCUUAAAAUAAAUGAUUUUCUUUCUCAA